GCUUCCCUCUCUCUUCGUGCCUAAUACAUGCAAGUCGAGCGAACAGACGAGGAGCUUGCUCCUCUGACGUUAGCGGCGGACGGGUGAGUAACACGUGGAUAACCUACCUAUAAGACUGGGAUAACUUCGGGAAACCGGAGCUAAUACCGGAUAAUAUAUUGAACCGCAUGGUUCAAUAGUGAAAGACGGUUUUGCUGUCACUUAUAGAUGGAUCCGCGCCGCAUUAGCUAGUUGGUAAGGUAACGGCUUACCAAGGCAACGAUGCGUAGCCGACCUGAGAGGGUGAUCGGCCACACUGGAACUGAGACACGGUCCAGACUCCUACGGGAGGCAGCAGUAGGGAAUCUUCCGCAAUGGGCGAAAGCCUGACGGAGCAACGCCGCGUGAGUGAUGAAGGUCUUCGGAUCGUAAAACUCUGUUAUUAGGGAAGAACAAAUGUGUAAGUAACUAUGCACGUCUUGACGGUACCUAAUCAGAAAGCCACGGCUAACUACGUG
RNAcentral lists this ribosomal RNA (497 nucleotides) under uncultured bacterium. RNAcentral describes it as "partial 16S ribosomal RNA". It matches the Rfam family "Bacterial small subunit ribosomal RNA", at positions 36 to 507 of the family's 1533-position model. The record is from RNAcentral.